UGAGGUGUUUAGAACAAGUGCGAAGGGACUGAGACGUGGAGGGCACAGUCCUUGACAUGUUCCUGGGUUCCACAAGUACUGUGGACAGCCCACGCACUCUCCCUUCCUGGACACCUGGGACCGACCCACACAGUCACACAGAGCUGGGCUCUCGUGCAUCCUGCUUCUCUACUCUACUUUCGGGAGCUGACAUAAUGUUGGCACAGGAAGUCCUAAUCCGGAAUGGUUUUGUUUGUUGUGCUUCCUCAGGAUUUCCUUGGAUCUGGAGACCCUAAAGAAACAAAGAUGCUCAUCACCAAGCAGGCCGACUGGGCCAGAAACAUCAAUGAGCCCAAAGCCGCGGUGGAGAUGUACAUCUCGGCAGGGGAGCAUGCCAAGGCCAUAGAGAUCAGCGGCAGCCAUGGCUGGGUUGACAUGUAUGUCUCAGCCCUUGCUUGACAACAGUGUGGAGGCAGUGUGUUAACUCUUGAGGUUUUGACUGACAAGAAAAAUUGUUUCUCUAAAUAUAUGCACCAAACAUGAAAAUG
This 527-nucleotide long non-coding RNA is filed under the name Rattus norvegicus (Norway rat). RNAcentral's name for it is "long non-coding RNA NONRATT020809". Lineage: Eukaryota; Metazoa; Chordata; Mammalia; Rodentia; Muridae. The record is from RNAcentral.